This 495-nucleotide ribosomal RNA is filed under the name uncultured bacterium. Its description in RNAcentral is "partial 16S ribosomal RNA". It matches the Rfam family "Bacterial small subunit ribosomal RNA", at positions 28 to 507 of the family's 1533-position model. The record is from RNAcentral.
GACGAACGCUGGCGGCGUGCCUAAUACAUGCAAGUAGAACGCUGAAGGAGGAGCUUGCUUCUCUGGAUGAGUUGCGAACGGGUGAGUAACGCGUAGGUAACCUGCCUGGUAGCGGGGGAUAACUAUUGGAAACGAUAGCUAAUACCGCAUAAGAGUAGAUGUUGCAUAACAUUUACUUAAAAGGUGCAAUUGCAUCACUACCAGAUGGACCUGCGUUGUAUUAGCUAGUUGGUGAGGUAACGGCUCACCAAGGCAACGAUACAUAGCCGACCUGAGAGGGUGAUCGGCCACACUGGGACUGAGACACGGCCCAGACUCCUACGGGAGGCAGCAGUAGGGAAUCUUCGGCAAUGGACGGAAGUCUGACCGAGCAACGCCGCGUGAGUGAAGAAGGUUUUCGGAUCGUAAAGCUCUGUUGUAAGAGAAGAACGAGUGUGAGAGUGGAAAGUUCACACUGUGACGGUAUCUUACCAGAAAGGGACGGCUAACUACGUG